AAUGUUCCAGGCUCCGCCUCUCACUGAGUCGAGGUCUGAAGUGACUGCUGGGUUCCCAACACCGAAACGGAGUCCUUCUGACACUCCUCUGAGGUGAGUCUGCAUGCUGAACUCUGGUUGAAGAGGACGAGCCCCACGGGAGCCUUCUGGAUAAGAGGGAUAGGCCCCAAAGGGGAGGCUCUUCUGGAUAAGAGGGAUGGAUAUUCAAGGUCCUCGACCUGGCUUAGGAAGAGAAUUUCUGGCAGGAAACUCUUUCCUCGUCCUCCCUCCACACUAAGUGGGAGAUCCUGUAUCCUGGUUCUGCCUUUCAUGAGAGACCCGAUUUUGGUUUUGCUUGGGUGAAUGGCCCGCCAACUGUGUGAAUGACUGAAUGCAUGAAGAGCACGUUUGGUUCAGAGAGUCGCCUGAACGCGUGACAGGCAAGUUUGGCUUUGGGAGCUGUUGAAUUGAUUUCUUGAUUUUGCGGCUGGUGUUUCUGUUUUGUCCCCAAAGGGAGCUGAUUAAAAUUCUGCCUGUUUUUCCCUCAUUCUGCCAGCAGGUGGCACCCCCUGCUGUUGUUGGCGGUUGGUCUUUUGGCACCCCAACGUCUCUCCCACCGCAGGCUCGCACCUCCCCGCCCCCUACACACACCCCGGCCCCGGCACGCGGCAAGGUCCCUGGGACCUGCCUAGGCUGCGUUCGCUCCGGGCGACCGCCAGGGGGCGGGGCGGGCCCGCCGCUCCUCUGGGUUCUGCGCGGAGCCGGGGCGGGCGGCGUCGAUGCUCCCGGGCGAGCCGGCGAGCUGGUGAGCCAGCUCCCUCGCCGGGCGGUGGCGGCCCCACUCCGUUUAUUGUCCUGCCGGCCUCCGAGGCACCUUUGGCUCCCCGCUUGAGGGCCCGCCAUGCCCCAUACUGGACCCAGAACCAGCCUUUGUUUUUCUGUCAUACAAGACGCUGCUCCCUCCGAGGCGGGGGCAAUGAUUUAAAGGAAGGGCGUUGCCCUUCCCUUGAUCUGUGUUCUGUUCACUUCAGAUCUGUAUAACCGGAAGACCCAGACCUCUUUUUCUGAUAAGCCCCAAGGCCUACAACGGCUAUCCUGGAAUCUGUGCCUCUCAUCUAUCGCCCCAACUAAGUAAGGUGUUCAUCUGCAAUUCCUUCUCUGUUUACUUCAGAGAGGGAUGUAUGGGGCCGAGGCGAGGAAGGCUUUUUUGGGGACUCAUCCAUUGGACAGAUGCUGAAAAGCUACUCGAUUUGAGGCAGCGUUUCCAUCCAAAUGCCUUAAUUGGGACCCCAAUACGUAUGCAGGUUCCCAGGCCCUGGACACUUGUCUCCAGUAUCUUAUGCUGGAGUUCAGGGUGCAGCUUGAAACAACUAAUUUGUCUAAAACUAUUGAGGCUCUUCAGGGCAGGAGAGUCUCCCGAGGCAUUUCUCGAGGGGAAAAGGGCCUUCAGAUUUUACAUCCCAUUUGAUCCACUCGCUCCGAAAAAUGCUAGAGCACUAAAUUUGGCUCUUGUCACUCAAUCACCUCCGGGCGUCCAUAAAAACUCCGAAUGCUAGAGGGCUUUGCAGCUCAUUGCGGUAGCCCAAAAUGUUCACAAUAACUGAGAUGAUACAAGGCAGAGAGGCAGGAUGUGUUGGCUGCUGAAAGAGCUGUAUGCAGGCAAGCAAGGCUUAUGCUGACUGUGUUCCAGUCAGCUCACUCUGAGCCCCUAUGGCUACUUCUGUAUUGUUUGUGUCCAAGGGAGAGAUCCUCAAAAAAAAAAAAUAAUAACAAUAAUUAUCAGUAAAAAGAUGCCAGUGUGGGGAGUGGGCACCAUUAAGGAAAAUCACCUUACACCUAAAAGAACAGUUAGUCUCACACCUGCAUGGUGGUCCUAGAUUGCCCUUUCUCCCUUUCGGGCAAAGAUGUUUUUCAAAAAUCAGGCACCACUGUGAUGGCUAAAAAAACUCCACUUUGUGCUAGGCAUCCACCUUGGAGCCUAAUAUCCGUUGGUUCUGGACUCAAGUUCCUGGAAGAUAAGUUCCCGGCAACCCUGACUGCUUGACCCCAGAAAUGUACAGCCCUGACCAUCUGCUUGUUGUGAUAUGACUAACUGCUGAUUUUGAUUUCUGUGACCUGCUUACGCAGACAUUCAAGGACUAUUUUGAGAUCACCUUGCCUAUCUAAUCUUGGCAGAGACAAACAACUCUUGUGGGUUUCAUCUUUAAAAGCUCGUCCUUCACCUACCUCUGGGCAGCACAUCUCUAAUUUGAGCUACAGACUUCAGCCCUGCUAGCAGCUUUAAUAAAUUUGCUUAAUUAGAAUCUGAGUUGGGUCUGGGGGUCUUUUCUGGGUGUUCUGGAACUCUGUAACAUCACUAUCACCUUUACUCUCCAAGAAAGCUAAAAUGUCCUUUAUGCCUGUCCUACCAACUCAGCUUAACUGUCCUCUGUCUGAAGAACAUCUUCUAGCUCCCCCACUCACAACAGAAACAAAUCCAGACCCAGGGCCCCUGUUUGAGGACUUGCAACAGCAAUUUCCUAACAUAUGGGCUGAGAUAAACCCUCCUGGCUUGGCAGCACACUGUCCACCAGUUAUGGUAAGUCUCUUGGCUACAGCCGUACUGACAGAGGACUGUCAAUAUCCCUUGAACCAAAAGACUAGACUGGAAAUUGCUAGACUGGAAGCUAACCUCCUCACCCCAUGCCAGUCAGCUUGGAAUAUGCCUUCAUCGCCUGUGUAUAAGCCAGGGACCUCAGGUUAUCAGUCAGCCCAGGACCUACUGGAGACAAAUCACCGAUGGGCUGAAAUCAUUCAUCUGACAGUUCCAAAUCUGUACACUUUGCUCAGUCUCCUCCCACCAGACCACCAGGUCUGUCCAGUCCUGGUCCUUAAGGAUGCUUGCUUCUCUAGUUCCCUGGGGCCAGUUAGCUAGCCCAUAUUUGCCUUCCCCCCUGCUGUGUGAGCCCUCCUAAGAGGGACAAGUUCCUGCAUCACUCAGUACCGGAGUCCGUAGCUUCAUCAGCUUGGCCUCACUUUUGCUACUGUACAGUCUCAACCUUUCGACAUUGAUGCUGAUGACAACCCCAAGGUCCCCCUCCAUAACUGUGGGGACUUGAUGGACAUAUCUCAAGCCAUUCACCCAGACCUCCGGGAUACUCCCCUACCCGAGGCAUAGACCUAUUGACUGCUGAAGGAAAGACUGUUAAAGGGGGAAUUAUUGUUCCUCUUAAAGCGAUCUGGCUCCCCAAGGAGGUGGCUAUUAUAUAUUGCAAGGGGCAUCAAACAGCCAACACACCAGAAGCCCAAGGAAAUCAGAGGGCCGAUCAGGCAGCCCGGUAAGCAGCAGGGAUUCCUGCAGAGUCCUGUUUUGUCUUGACCAUUGCUUUUUCUGAUUCCCAGCUGUCUCGCCAGCCCACCUGCUCCCAAGAAGAAGAGGACAAGGCCUGCUCCAGGAUGCUAAAUAGGAUCCAGCUGGAUAGUGGAUCUUACUAGACUAACCGAGUUGUUAUCUUCCAGGUCCAGACUGCAGUCCAUUCUAGGGUUCAAGAUGCCCUUCUGGUUACCUCCUCAGUGCCCCGUCCCUCCUUCUGACCCAGGGACCCAGGUACAUCAAGAAGUUUCAGAAAAGAGGAUUGACACCUGCCUGGAAAGGACUCCCACUGUUACGCUGACCACAUCAGCUGCUACAAUCAAGGUUGACCAGAUGUCUGCCUGGGUUCACCACGCCCUUGCCAAGCCUGUUCCAAACCAGGACCAGAAAUGAACCAUCUCACUUAGACCAGAUCCUCCCAGGCUAAGACUCUCUCAGAAUAGGACUCCUUUUUGGUUAUGCAUCCCCCUUUCUGCCUCUUGUAAUACUAGUCUCAUGGUUACUCGUAACUCAGAAACUUAUUUCUCUUCCACAGGAACUCAGCUGGUGUGUACCGCCAGUCUCACCCGCUGUAUGACCUCAGAACAUCUGUGUAAUAAUCCAGUUUUAUGUAUGGUUGUACAUGUAUCCCCCCCCCCCAGAGUGAAUGCUUAUUCAGGACCAGAGGGGACUCACCUCUUGUUCCCCUUUGGGCUGUCCCACUGGUGGCAUAAGAGAGCUGCCCCUCUCCUUGUUCCGGUGAUGGUAGAAAUGGGGGUAGCGGGCCCUGCUGCCUUGAGAACUACGGUUCUAACUGGGAGAAAUGGGCCUUUAACAGUUAUCAAUUAGAUGCACACCUCAGACGCCUUCUUCCUCAAUAUGCCUCAGGUCUAGGUAGAGUCUCUGGCGGAAGUCUCCCCCAAACCAGCGGGGCUUAGACUUGCUUUUCACGUCCCAGAGAGGACUUUAUAUGACACUGGGAAAGGCUUGUCCUUCCUAUGCUAGCAAAUCAGGAGUUCUCAAAGAGACUUUACAAAAAGUUAAAAAUAAUUUAGAGAAAGGACAACAGGAGUGAAACGGGGAGGUGGUGGCGCACGCCUUUAAUCCCAGCACUCGGGAGGCAGAGCCAGGCGGAUCUCUGUGAGUUCGAGGCCAGCCUGGGCUACAAAGCUAGUUCCAGGGUAGCCGGGGCUGCUACACAGAGAAAUGCUGUCUUGGAAAAAAAAAAAACCAAACCAAACCAAACAAACAAAAAGAGACAACAGGAAUGUAAAUCAAAUAAUUUGUGGUACCAUAAAAUACUGGGUGAAAACCAUGGCUCACUACCUCCUCCCUGGCCUUGCAGGCCCCUUUCGCCUACUUUUUAUAAGACCUGCUGAGAAGCCAUACAUAAUAAAUUACCUCCGUUAAGCCAAUGAUCCUCAGGACUCAGUCUGUACCCCUUAGCCAAGAUCAAAGAUUUGAAAAUAACUUAAAAAAGGGGAGGGGGAUGAAAUGACCAAAGUAACGCCAUCAUGUUCUGACUCCAUUUUUGUUCGUUUGGACAGUUCUCAGCCCUUUACCCUCCCUCCCCUCAACAGUCACACCUGCCUUGACAACACUUGAGAUGUCCAUGGUCUUGACUAUGGUCCAGAUAUGUUAACCAAAAUAAUUGGCAAGUUACAUCUAAAGUAACUACCGUGCUUUGCCAGGAACAAAGGUUUCAAGGUUACUCUGACCUUCAUCUAACUUUGAUGCAUCCUUGUGGGUUUCGCCUUUCCAAAUGCUAUGUCCCUAAAUACAGGCACCAAGAGGCUCAAGCCCGCUCUUGGGCUGGCCGUCAAUAAAAAGUACUUAAACUCUUAA
Long non-coding RNA from Peromyscus californicus insignis, 5155 nucleotides. RefSeq lists it as uncharacterized. Lineage: Eukaryota; Metazoa; Chordata; Mammalia; Rodentia; Cricetidae. The record is from RefSeq and is a predicted model, not a curated record. The transcript is spliced from 2 exons.